This 440-nucleotide ribosomal RNA is filed under the name uncultured Janthinobacterium sp. RNAcentral's name for it is "bacterial SSU rRNA". It matches the Rfam family "Bacterial small subunit ribosomal RNA", at positions 358 to 789 of the family's 1533-position model. Lineage: Bacteria; Pseudomonadati; Pseudomonadota; Betaproteobacteria; Burkholderiales; Oxalobacteraceae. The record is from RNAcentral.
GGAAUAUUGCACAAUGGGCGAAAGCCUGAUGCAGCAACGCCGCGUGAGGGAUGACGGCCUUCGGGUUGUAAAGCUCUUUUGUCAGGGAAGAAACGGUGAGAGCUAAUAUCUCUUGCUAAUGACGGUACCUGAAGAAUAAGUACCGGCUAACUACGUGCCAGCAGCCGCGGUAAUACGUAGGGUGCAAGCGUUAAUCGGAAUUACUGGGCGUAAAGCGUGCGCAGGCGGUUUUGUAAGUCUGAUGUGAAAUCCCCGGGCUCAACCUGGGAAUUGCAUUGGAGACUGCAAGGCUAGAAUCUGGCAGAGGGGGGUAGAAUUCCACGUGUAGCAGUGAAAUGCGUAGAUAUGUGGAGGAACACCGAUGGCGAAGGCAGCCCCCUGGGUCAAGAUUGACGCUCAUGCACGAAAGCGUGGGGAGCAAACAGGAUUAGAUACCCCUG